Non-coding RNA from Gopherus flavomarginatus (Mexican gopher tortoise), 830 nucleotides. Lineage: Eukaryota; Metazoa; Chordata; Testudines; Testudinidae. The record is from the annotation of a RefSeq genome assembly.
GAGAGGAAAUGCAGGGCGAGCGGACCAGAAACCUUCCCGAGUCUGAGAGUCCUGGGCAGGAAGAGAAGGGAGCUCAGAUAAUCAAACAACAGGCUGGAUCCUCAAAGGGGCCCGGAGAAAGGACGCAUGGAACUCCAGUGAGCAAUAAGCUCCCAACUCCCUUAGGCUCCUUUGAAAAUCUCUGUAUCCAAAGCGACUCAGUGGUCCUGGGCAGAGCCAAGAUCCAACAGCCGUGGUCCUCAGAAGUUUUGGAUGGAGACGAAUUGAACCUGACCUGCUCCCACCAUGCCGCCAAGGCGAGUGACAGCACAAUCUGGUACCAGCAGCUCCCAAACCCAAUACCCCAGUUUGCACUUACCGGAUACAAGGAAACCAUUAAUAGCCCCGAACCGAAGGGAGCUCUGUACAUCUCCGCUGACAAAGUGUCCGGCACCCUGGCCCUGCACCGUGUGAGGCUGGUGUAUUUCUGUGGUGUGCUGUGGUGUAUUUCUGUGAUCGGAGCAACAUGAUGUGAUAACCAGUGGGCAGCCCCCGGGCAAUAAAUAUCCCACCCCUACUCCAGGGCUGAGUGUGUGUGGGGGGGUGGUGUGAGCAGAUGGUGAGGAACUCUUCUGUGGAUGUGGGGGAGAGGGAGGACCAGGGAGAACAAAAAGGGAGGAAUAAAACAAUUAGGACCAAAUUUACAAAAAUGUCUCUAUGCGCCUAACUAUUUAUGCAUGUGACUACUGAGAUGUGGUACUUUGGAAAAUUUCUAAGAAGUCCGCCUUAAGAGGGAAUGAAGAACAAUAAAGGGAAGAGUAAACCAUGGAAGUAAAUAAACUUUUCCAAGA